This 379-nucleotide ribosomal RNA is filed under the name uncultured bacterium. Its description in RNAcentral is "bacterial SSU rRNA". It matches the Rfam family "Bacterial small subunit ribosomal RNA", at positions 536 to 929 of the family's 1533-position model. The record is from RNAcentral.
AAGUGUUUUUUUGUUUAUUGGGUUAAAAGGAGGGCGGGCGGUUGGUGAGUGGGACGUGAAACCCUUGGGUUAACGGAAGAGGGGCAUUGGUACCGGGGAACGUGGGUACAGAAGAGGAGAGUGGAAUUCCAUGGGUAGCGGUGUAUUGCGUAGAUAGACGGAGGAACUCCUGAGGUGGGGGCGACUGUAUGGUUUGUGAUUGACGAUGAAGCUCGUAAGAGUGGGUAGCAAACAGGAUUAGAUAGCUUGGCAGUCCACGCCGUGUACGCUGAGUGAUAAGUGUUGGAUCUUCAGUGUUGCAGUUAACUCAUUAUGCACUCUCUUGGGGAGUACGAUCGCAAGUUUGAAGCUCAAAGGAAUUGAUGGGGGCCCGCGCAAG